Molecule: small nuclear RNA, 106 nt
Organism: Otolemur garnettii (small-eared galago)
Lineage: Eukaryota; Metazoa; Chordata; Mammalia; Primates; Galagidae
Source: Ensembl
GUGCUCAGUUUGGGCUGCACAUGUACUAAAACUGCAACAGUGGACAGGAUUAGCACGGCCCCUGAGCAAGGAUGACACGCAAAUCCACAAAUCGCUCCAUGUAAAU